GAUGAACGCUGGCGGCGUGCUUAACACAUGCAAGUCGAACGGUGAAGGCGGAGCUUGCUCUGCUGGAUCAGUGGCGAACGGGUGAGUAACACGUGAGCAAUCUGCCCCUGACUCUGGGAUAAGCGCUGGAAACGGCGUCUAAUACUGGAUACGAGCUGCGAAGGCAUCUUCAGCAGCUGGAAAGAAUUUCGGUCAGGGAUGAGCUCGCGGCCUAUCAGCUUGUUGGUGAGGUAAUGGCUCACCAAGGCGUCGACGGGUAGCCGGCCUGAGAGGGUGACCGGCCACACUGGGACUGAGACACGGCCCAGACGCCUACGGGAGGCAGCAGUGGGGAAUAUUGCACAAUGGGCGAAAGCCUGAUGCAGCAACGCCGCGUGAGGGACGACGGCCUUCGGGUUGUAAACCUCUUUUAGCAGGGAAGAAGCGAAAGUGACGGUACCUGCAGAAAAAGCGCCGGCUAACUACGUG
RNAcentral lists this ribosomal RNA (468 nucleotides) under uncultured bacterium. Its description in RNAcentral is "partial 16S ribosomal RNA". It matches the Rfam family "Bacterial small subunit ribosomal RNA", at positions 28 to 507 of the family's 1533-position model. The record is from RNAcentral.